GACGAACGCUGGCGGCGUGCUUAACACAUGCAAGUCGAACGGAAAGGCCCUGCUUUUGUGGGGUGCUCGAGUGGCGAACGGGUGAGUAACACGUGAGUAACCUGCCCUUGACUUUGGGAUAACUUCAGGAAACUGGGGCUAAUACCGGAUAGGAGCUCCUGCUGCAUGGUGGGGGUUGGAAAGUUUCGGCUGUUGGGGAUGGACUCGCGGCUUAUCAGCUUGUUGGUGGGGUAGUGGCUUACCAAGGCUUUGACGGGUAGCCGGCCUGAGAGGGUGACCGGCAACAUUGGGACUGAGAUACGGCCCAGACUCCUACGGGAGGCAGCAGUGGGGAAUAUUGCACAAUGGGCGGAAGCCUGGUGCAGCAACGCCGCGUGCGGGAUGACGGCCUUCGGGUUGUAAACCGCUUUCGCCUGUGACGAAGCGUGAGUGACGGUAAUGGGUAAAGAAGCACCGGCUAACUACGUG
RNAcentral lists this ribosomal RNA (468 nucleotides) under uncultured bacterium. RNAcentral's name for it is "partial 16S ribosomal RNA". It matches the Rfam family "Bacterial small subunit ribosomal RNA", at positions 28 to 507 of the family's 1533-position model. The record is from RNAcentral.